AUAGUACUCCCUCCGUCCGAAAAAACUUGUCAUCAAAAUGAAUAAAAAGAGAUGUAUCUAGAACUAAAAUACAUCUAGAUACAUCCUCUUUUAUCCAUUUUGAUGACAAGUAUUUCCGGACGGAGGGAGUACUUC
Molecule: non-coding RNA, 135 nt
Organism: Triticum aestivum (bread wheat)
Lineage: Eukaryota; Viridiplantae; Streptophyta; Magnoliopsida; Poales; Poaceae
Source: Rfam